CAGGUGGAACAGAUUACUGCUCUGCAGGUA
RNAcentral lists this non-coding RNA (30 nucleotides) under Homo sapiens (human). Lineage: Eukaryota; Metazoa; Chordata; Mammalia; Primates; Hominidae. The record is from RNAcentral.